RNAcentral lists this ribosomal RNA (426 nucleotides) under uncultured Caryophanaceae bacterium. RNAcentral describes it as "bacterial SSU rRNA". It matches the Rfam family "Bacterial small subunit ribosomal RNA", at positions 356 to 774 of the family's 1533-position model. The record is from RNAcentral. Lineage: Bacteria; Bacillati; Bacillota; Bacilli; Caryophanales; Caryophanaceae.
GGGGAAUAUUGCGCAAUGGGGGAAACCCUGACGCAGCAAUACCGCGUGAGUGAAGAAGGUUUUCGGAUCGUAAAACUCUGUUGUCAGGGCAGAACCAGUACGUCAGGCAAUGGACGUACCUUUACGCUACCUUAUUAUAAAGCCACGCCUCAUUCCGUGCCAGCAUCCGCGGUAAUACGUAGGUGGCAAGCGUUGUCAGGAAUUAUUGGGCGUAAAGCGCGCGCAGGUGGUUUCUUAAGUCUGAUGUGAAAGCCCACGGCUUAACCGUGGAGAGUCAUUGGAAACUGGGAGACUUGAGUGCAGAAGAGGAAAGUGGAAUUCCAAGUGUAGCGGUGAAAUGCGUAGAGAUUUGGAGGAACACCAGUGGCGAAGGCGACUUUCUGGUCUGCAACUGACGCUGAGGCGCGAAAGCAUGGGGAGCAAACA